Molecule: long non-coding RNA, 735 nt
Organism: Sinocyclocheilus anshuiensis
Lineage: Eukaryota; Metazoa; Chordata; Actinopteri; Cypriniformes; Cyprinidae
Exons: 2
Source: RefSeq, a predicted model, not a curated record
AUGGCGUAUAAUCCGCUAUUUGAGUUCUCAAGUGCGUCAUCGCUUCACAUAUCAUGGCGGCUUUGCUUGUGAAGAAGUGCGCGUUACCGGUCAUUUUCAGGACGCUUUCAGCUCCUCAGUUGUGGAUGCAAUGUGGGUAUCACGAGAAGGUUGUGGACCACUAUGAGAGCCCAAGAAAUGUAGGGUCUUUGGAUAAAAAUGCCAAGAAUGUGGGCACAGGGUUGGUUGGUGCCCCUGCGUGUGGAGAUGUGAUGAAACUGCAGGUAAUUCCGUCUUGCCUAACAAUAGACCGCUUUACUGAGCUUCCUAAAUGGUAAUUUUUUGUCCGACUGGGUAUGUUCACUAUUGUAGGCUUAUUAACUGUCAUUUUAUAGCACAGGUAUUUGAUGACAAGCAUGUUUGUAUUUGUGACAUGAAACAAUGCAUAGGCUAUAAAAGGGAAACAUACUAAACAUUUAUUGCAUCCUUACACAAAUCAAAAAAAAAAGUGUAGUAUUUAAGUAGGUGAAUCUUUCAGGAUCUUAAUUCUCUGUCACAUGACUGAAGCCUCGGAUUGGGUUGAGUGCUUACACAGGAUGAGUCUGCAUAUUUUAGAUUAUCCUAUUUAUUAUUUAUUUGAUGGGGACAAUACAGAAUCUAAUACUUGUAGCACUUGUCCCUGCUACUAGGGACCCAAUAAAUGCAAUAACCUACAAACAAUAUAUAGUUUAUAACAAAGUAAUUCAAUAAUGAUUU